AUUGAACGCUGGCGGCAUGCUUUACACAUGCAAGUCGAACGGUAACAGGCCUUCGGGUGCUGACGAGUGGCGAACGGGUGAGUAAUGCAUCGGAACGUGCCCAGAGGUGGGGGAUAACGCAGCGAAAGCUGUGCUAAUAUCGCAUGUGAUCUGAGGAUGAAAGCGGGGGACCAGGCAGCAAUGUUUGGCCUCGCGCCUUUGGAGCGGCCGAUGUCAGAUUAGGUAGUUGGUGGGGUAAAGGCCUACCAAGCCGACGAUCUGUAGCUGGUCUGAGAGGACGACAGGCGACCCUGGGAGUGAGCCACGGCCCAGACUCCUGCGGGAGGCAGCAGUGGGGAAUGUGGGACAAUGGGCGCAAGCCUGAUCCAGCAAUGCCGAGUGCGGGAAGAAGGCCUUCGGGUUGUAAACCGCUUUUGUCCGGAACGAAAAGGCUCUGGCUAAUACCUGGGGCUGAUGACGGUACCGUAAGAAUAAGCACCGGCUAACUACGUG
This 492-nucleotide ribosomal RNA is filed under the name uncultured bacterium. RNAcentral describes it as "partial 16S ribosomal RNA". It matches the Rfam family "Bacterial small subunit ribosomal RNA", at positions 29 to 507 of the family's 1533-position model. The record is from RNAcentral.